Scatophagus argus is the source of this 3120-nucleotide long non-coding RNA. RefSeq lists it as uncharacterized. NCBI's taxonomy places the organism in Eukaryota, Metazoa, Chordata, Actinopteri, Scatophagidae. The record is from RefSeq and is a predicted model, not a curated record. The transcript is spliced from 3 exons.
ACUAAGUUUCUUGUAGAACUGGUUGUUUCACUUUCUUUGCUAUUUCAAAUAUUACUGACUCAUUCAUCUCAUUUGUCCAGGACAGUGCUCAGUGCUCAGUGUUUGUUCAGGCAUUUAUUCUGCUUAAAUUGUUCUUUUGUGAAAUAGCACACCUGUUAGUGCCUGCAUAGCUGCUAGCCAGCCUGCUGGAAGCAUCCCCCUCUGGGCUUGUUCAGGACUGUAAACUCGAGAUGGUUGGUUCCUUGACUCUACAGGCAGAGGAAGUCGGUCAGAAAUCAGCCGUGUUUUUCCUAAAAAUUUGAUUUUAGGAAUGUUCUUUUCAAAUUCAGGUGCAAUUCAAGAGUCCAUACCUGUGUUCACCUGAUUGAGGUGCUCUAAUACCAGUUCAAACUUUGAAGUUGUGCAUAGCCAAGACACACUUCCAUUUGGGUGCAGACCAUGAUGACGCAGUCACUCUAAAAACUUAUGUGAUAAAAUGUCUCACUGAUGUCUGAGCAGGCGAUAAGCCUCAAGGGGGGGUUGCGCUUCCUUCUAAGAUGUUCAUGUGGCUCCGUCUGCCCGUAGUCCUACACUGCUCUUCUUUUUCCCUCAAUACAUGUUGUCUGGCCUGUCUCGAGCUAUGAAGAAGCAUAUAACACAGAAAAGCACACUGUCACAAAAAGACGCUGCUGGCGCAUUGUAACUGAGAGUAUGGCAGAAGUUUUAAUCGACCAUUUGACCUUUUAAGGUUCAGUGACUUAACCCGCCACAAUAAAUAAACCACAAAGCUUCAGGCCCUUCGUGCUUGUUAAUACAAGUCAUGAUGUUGCAUGAAAGGUCAGUAUAUUAUGUAAUAUGUAUGUGUUCAAAUAUGCAAGUUUGUCUCUGCACUCAUGGUGCAGUCUCUGCAUAGACACUCUGUCUCUACUCUGUUUGUCCUCUUUGUCAACUUGACAUCCUCAAAAACAUUCAGAUUUUCCAUCUCCUGUUCAUCAUAUAAUGAAAACAACAAGACUCUCUCCUGCUUCUGAUCAGCAGAUUGGUUUUAUUUCCCCAUCUGACUUCUUGUUUUUAAUUUCAGCUCCCUGCUUUUGUUCUCUAAUUUGGUUUAUUGUCGCCUGUCUGUCUCCUGUGUGAACCUGUGGUGCGGCCAUAGAGAAAGUGGAUUUAACUUAGUGGCUUUGUGGACGUGUGUGCUGCUGCUGCUGAUCUUCUUUGAGGUCGAGGUCACCGUGUUUGUUGUCUCUUGAAGAAUUUGUGUUUAUGAUUGUGUUGUGAGCAGAUGUGAAACACGAACAGCACCCACAGCAUGUUCGCCAACGGUGCAUGGAAAAAAGAGAAGAGAGAAAAAAAACCUUGAGAAGGCUAUGGGCACUACGCAGUCUUGGAGUAACUGUCACUUCUGUCACUACUGAGAACUUGGCCAACAAACUGCCACUGACAGACUGAAGAGUCAUCUCGUUCUUCAGGCUUCCAAGAGAGGAAAAAUAAUUAUUUCCAUCCCCAAUUGAUGGCCGCAGGCACAAAGCAAAGCGUUCUAAUGACAGCAGGACAAUCAGCAAACAUCAACAUUGUGCUCUGCCUCCCAUCCCAUCUGUGUGUCAGCAUCAUGUGGUAUGUCGGCCCAGAGACCUUGUCUGUCAGGAGCAGGAUGCAGAGUCUCCAUAGGCUCUGAAGAUGGCUUGUUUCCAUGACAACCAUCUGUUAACUCACAUCGUUCAGCUUGCUCUCACUCUCCUCCUUUCUGGAAAAUCACAUCUGAUCUGAUGGAGACGUCGCUCUCGAAAAGAGUCCGCCGUGACAUGUAUGUGACGUUAUUGCUGUGAAGCUGAAUUCAGUUCACGUCAUCUUGCCUUGGUUUGUCUUACUGAAGGUAACAGCUAACUUAUUAGUGCCAGUCAAAAUGGUUUCAAGAAUGAAGCAGCAAGCGUACUGCUCAGCCAAUAUAGUUCUGUAAUAACAUACAUGUUUGUAGGCCAUACAGGCCAUACAAAUAGAGUUUAUGUUUUCCUCUUUCCAUUGUAACAGCAACCACAGAACCAUAAUAUAAGGAAAUAUUCUACUGUGCCACAUGAACUCAGCCAUUAGAAGGGGAAUACACAUGAGCUGGAUUCUUAAUUUAUUGAUCUUGUUUUUAAACUAUGGCAAUUUCUACAACUGAGCACAGCCAAGUCAACAGAAGAAGGCAGACCACACAUUUGGCCUGAAAAUGAAAACACAGAGAUAAGAAACUAAAACUGAAGCCAAGCCAAACGGCACUGGUGCUGAAUGGAUGGAGCAAUCAGAAAAACACUGACUGCCUGGGGUGUAAAGUGACUUUUCAUGACACAUCGUGACCAAUGUAACAUUACAAAUGCAGAAUUACCUCAGUCAAAACAAGUCAUCUCACAUGUCAGUAUCAGUUUACAGGCAUACACAAACAUUUUGCUUCUGCUUGAGCCUGUUCAGUUACUACUUAUUACACAGGCUAAUCACCUCGUUCAUACUGUCUGUACUGUUUAUAGUUUAUUUAUCAUGUGCUACUAAUACUACUUAUUAAUUCACUAUGUCAGUAGGCCAUUAACAUCACUGGGUUUACAGGUUCGCCUCCCUGGGGUUGAAUGCACCUAUGGCACAUUUGUGCUGCUUUUGAUGGAUAAAAGCAUCCAUCAGAUCCAGCAUUCAGGGUGAUGGAAAUGCUUUUGUAAGAGAGUGAGGAAGGCUUCCAGGAACACAGAUGGAGAAAACAUUAGACAACAUUAUCCGUUAACUGCCCAUCAAUACCAGGUUGAACCUGACGUCUCUGUGUGGUUCAAUACUGCAACAACAGGGAGAUGGCAGUUGUCUGCCUAUUCAGUAUUUUUAUGUUAACAAUGUGUAAAAAUUGUAAUCAUAAAAUGGCUCGGCUGUAGUGAUGAACACAGAUACACCAUAUGGACCAAAGUAUCGGGACAGCUGACAUUUACACCAACAGGAAUUUUAAUGACACCUCAUUUUAAAUGCACAGACAGCUUUGCAGCUCUAACAGCUUCCAGUCUCUAAAAUUAUGAAGUGUUUCUGUAGGAAUUUUUGUACUUUUUUGUGUUCUGUGGGAACCCCAUCCAACCCCAUUGGAUGGGGUUGAGGUCAGGACGCUGUGUGGGCCAGUCAAAUUCUUCCACA